Molecule: ribosomal RNA, 449 nt
Filed under: Emiliania huxleyi
Lineage: Eukaryota; Haptophyta; Isochrysidales; Noelaerhabdaceae
Also listed under: 1 other name
Description: eukaryotic LSU rRNA
Rfam family: Eukaryotic large subunit ribosomal RNA
Source: RNAcentral
GCCUCGCGUAUGCAGCGCCCCCCGAAUUGUGGUCUAGAGAGGCGUCAUCGGCCGCGCCCGCCGCUCAAGUCCCUUGGAACAGGGUGUCGGAGAGGGUGAGAAUCCCGUACCGUGGCGGGUUGCGGCCUUGCGAUGCGUCCUCGUCGAGUCGGGUUGCUUGGGAUUGCAGCUUGAAUUGGGUGGUAAAUUCCAUCUAAAGCUAAAUACUGGCGAGAGACCGAUAGCGAACAAGUACCGUGAGGGAAAGAUGCAAAGAACUUUGAAAAGAGAGUCAAAGAGUGCUUGAAAUCGGUAGGAGGAAACCCGGAUGGGCCCGGCUUCGGCGCGCCGACUCAGCCUGGGGUUCUCCCCAGGUGCACUUUUGCGCGCCGGGUGAGCCGCGCCUCGGCGCCGCGCCUCAACCCGGGAGCGGGGCUUUACGGCCAGCUCCCGUCCUGGCGCGGCCCGGG